GAUCCCUUAGUUAAGUUGGAUAUAACGAGAACCUCCUAAGUUCUUGUCGCCGGUUCGAGUCCGGCAGGGUCA
This 72-nucleotide transfer RNA is filed under the name Lactococcus protaetiae. RNAcentral's name for it is "Lactococcus sp. KACC 19320 tRNA-Arg". It matches the Rfam family "tRNA". From Rfam's summary of the family: Transfer RNA (tRNA) molecules are approximately 80 nucleotides in length. Their secondary structure includes four short double-helical elements and three loops (D, anti-codon, and T loops). Lineage: Bacteria; Bacillati; Bacillota; Bacilli; Lactobacillales; Streptococcaceae. The record is from RNAcentral.